Molecule: unclassified non-coding RNA, 248 nt
Filed under: Lecidea floridensis
Lineage: Eukaryota; Fungi; Ascomycota; Lecanoromycetes; Lecideales; Lecideaceae
Description: partial contains 5.8S ribosomal RNA, internal transcribed spacer 2, and large subunit ribosomal RNA
Source: RNAcentral
CGCACAUUGCGCCCCUUGGUAUUCCGGGGGGCAUAUCUGUUCGAGCGUCGUUUAAACCCCUCAAGCCUGGCUUGGUGAUGGGCGCUCGCUCCCUUUUCCGGGGGGCGUGCCCGAAAAGCAUCGGCGGUCCGGCGUGGAUUCGAGCGUAGUAAAUGUUCCCGCUUAGAAGAAACGUCCGGGUCGGCCAGCGAACCCCAAUUCUUUCACGAAUUGACCUCGAAUCAGAUAGGGAUACCCGCUGAACUUAA